AUUGAACGCUGGCGGAAUGCUUUACACGUGCAAGUCGAACGGCAGCACGGACUUCGGUCUGGUGGCGAGUGGCGAACGGGUGAGUAGUGUAUCGGAACGUGCCCAGUCGUGGGGGAUAACGUAGUGAAAAUUACGCUAAUACCGCAUACGAUCUAUGGAUGAAAGCGGGGGAUCGCAAGAACUCGCGCGAUUGGAGCGGCCGAUAUCAGAUUAGGUAGUUGGUGGGGUAAAGGCCCACCAAGCCAACGAUCUGUAGCUGGUCUGAGAGGACGACCAGCCACACUGGAACUGAGACACGGUCCAGACUCCUACGGGAGGCAGCAGUGGGGAAUUUUGGACAAUGGGCGAAAGCCUGAUCCAGCCAUUCCGCGUGCAGGAUGAAGGCCCUCGGGUUGUAAACUGCUUUUGUACAGAACGAAAAGGUUUCUACUAGUACUAGGAGCUCAUGACGGUACUGUAAGAAUAAGCACCGGCUAACUACGUGCCAGCCGCCGCAGUAA
RNAcentral lists this ribosomal RNA (500 nucleotides) under uncultured bacterium. RNAcentral's name for it is "partial 16S ribosomal RNA". It matches the Rfam family "Bacterial small subunit ribosomal RNA", at positions 30 to 523 of the family's 1533-position model. The record is from RNAcentral.